CUUAACACCUUUUUAUAUUUUUUCUACUGUGUUAUUUAUAUAUUUAUACAAUGUCUUAUAAAACUUCUUGUUGGCAAGUAGUUCCUGAACUUGGCGGGGAACACUUUGUUGAAUUUCUUCACAUUCACAUAUUUCGCUUACUAAAAUUAAACGUUGAAUAUUAAAAUUUGCACAUUUCAGAACAAUAUGAUCCAGAUCAGCAACUUCAGCAUCACAGUAUUUACAUCGGCUAUCGUUAUAUACAUUUAUUCUGUUCAAGUGAGCUGGCGUUAAGCAGUGUCCUAAUCGCAUGCGAGUUAUAGUUGUUAUAAAUCUUCUAUUAAUAUAUUCACAAUUAUUAAACCAUGGUUUUCUUCGUAAUUCUUUUUGGAUAUCUGCAUACCACUUGCCUUUAUUUUCUAGGGUUAGUGUCCAGUAGUCAUUCCACAAUUUACGGUUGAUCUCUUUGAUGUGGCUGUGGUAAUCUGAAAAUGGAACCUUCACAAGCUCUGUCUGGUCAUCAUAAUGUUCCCAAUGUGUUGCAGCGUCAGCAAUUUCAUUUCCGGGUAUGCCACUGUGCGAAGGCACCCAUACGAACUCUACAUUAAUAAACUUAUCCAGUAGACUUCCACCUAUCAAGGAAGAAGCAGAAAUAUUACAUGAAAUUGACUGAGAGACCCUGUGAUCUACUACCAGUUUCUUAUGUAAAUGACUAUUUGAUGAAAUGAUCUUCAAGAAAAAUCUCUCAGCCAACAUCAACCUACGUAACAUCAAGGGUGGUAUACAUGUCUCAACUUCCAAUGAGUUAAUUGGUGUGGAACGCAUGGCUCCACAAAUAAGUCUCAGUCCCAUAUUUUGGAUUACAUCCAAUUUUCUUAGUAAGGUGGUACUGGCAUUCAUAUAAGCUAAACUGCUGUAAUCAAAAUGACUUCUUACUAUACUUUUGUAUAACAUACUCAUAACUUUGGGGUCAGAUCCCCAAAAACUACCUGCUAAAUAGCGCAAUAUGUUUAUGCCAUUCAGUGCUUUGCUGCAUAUAUGUUUGAUAUGAUCAUCAAACUUUAAUUGAUCAUCAAUAAUAAUCCCUAGGAAUUUAUGUUGUUUAACAAUAGGAAUUUCUACAUUGUUGUACAAAAUUUUCACAUUAAAAUUAGUGUUUCGAUUUUUACUAACAAUUAGAACUGAACUUUUUCCAGGACUUAUUUCUAACUUAAGUUUAUUGUGGUAAUAGUAAUACAAUUGAUUCAAAGCAGUAUUUAUUUUGACCUUAGCUAUUUCUAUAUUUUGAUGUAUGGUAUACAAAAGUAAGUCAUCUGCAAAUUGUAAUAUUUUAACAUCUGGUACAUUUACAAAUUUUAAUAUUUCAGAGGUGUAUAAAUUAUAAAGUAAAGGAGACAGAGUGGCUCCUUGCAUUGUGCCCUUAUUAACAGUCUUAGGGCCAUGUAAUUUAUUGUUGUAUUUUACAAACACAGUUCUAUUGUUCAAAAAGUUGUAAAGCCAUUUAAGUAUAUGACCUGGGAUACCAAUAUCAUGGGAUAUUUGAAUAAGUUCCUCUAUAUUUACAUUGUCAAAAGCCCCUUUUAUGUCUAAAAAUACACAAAUUGCAUUGGAGUGACUUAAUUUAACCUGACCUAUAUCUGAUAAUAAAGAAACAAAGCUUUCAGAGCAACUUUUACCUUUUCUGAAGCCAAACUGAAUAGAAGGGAUUAAAUUUUGUGAUUCAACAAAAUAAUCUAGUCUUGUCUUUAACAUAUUUUCAAAAAGCUUACCUAAACAAGAUGAUAAAGAAAUAGGUCUAUAAGAAGAUGCAUCGUUUAAAGGUUUAUUCGGUUUUAAAAUUGGAAUGACACAUUGUGUCUUCCAAGGCUCUGGUAUAGUUAAUUCAAGCCAUAAUUUAUUAUAAAUAUUAAGUAACGUAGUCUGUGCAUUUAAAUGUAACUGUUUGAUUAAAAUGUAAGGUAUAUCAUCCAAUCCGGGUGUAGUAUCUCUCCUAGACUUUAAAGAUGUUUGUAAUUCCUCCAUAGUAAAAUUGUUCUUGAGAAAAAUAUUUAAACUGUUAUCUGUAGCAUUUUUAAACAAAUAUUCAAGCCUACUCUCAUCUGUUUCAGUAGAAUCUGCUAAGUUAUUUAAAAAACUGGGAACCCACUCAUCAUUAAAGUUUCGAUUUCGAUCAGUACCUAUUUUUUUAAAUCUUUUGAUGUAUCCCCAUAUUCUAGACACUGGUGUUAACCUAUUAAAGCUACUGCAUAAAUUGUGCCAAGAAGAAUUUCUUUCCUCCUGCAAAAUUCUCUUUUUAUUUGCAUCUAACUUCUUGUACAUAAUCCAAUUUUCUAUAUUUGGGUUAGAAAAAUAAUAUUUUAGUGCAUCUUUUGAUUUUUCUACAGCUUCACUACAUUUUUUAUUCCACCAUGGUACUGGCUUUCGUAUAACCGUAUUUGAAGCUAAUUUUCGUUUCGGAAUAGUUUUAUCCUUUAAAUCAUGUAAAGUUUCUACAAACUUAUUAUAUGAGUUGAUAGGGGAAUCUUUAAUUAAAUCAAUAUGAGAGAAACAAGUUUCUGAUAAACUGUUAUAUUUGGACCAAUCUGCUUUACUGUAAAUAUAUUUUUCUUGGUCCACAGGAGGAGACACGUCAUAUGCUGAUGGUUUGAUGUUAACGUCAAGCAAUGUUGGAAGAUGAUAGCUACCCAUAGGGUCAUCAUGAACAUACCAGUUACAUAAAUGAGCGAUUGAAGAGCUAACAAGGGCAAGAUCUAUAGCUGAGGCUUGUCUAUUGGGAUAAGCAACAGUUGUCGGUGAUCCAUCAUUCAAAAUACAUAAGUCAAAUUCAUCAAUAAUAUUAAGCAAACAUCUACCUCUAUUGUUAUCACUUUGGCAUCCAAAAGCUAUGUUAUGAGCAUUAAAAUCACCCAUGAUAAUACAAGGUUUGGGUAUAUUAUUGAUUAGUUCCCUUAACUUUACUAAAUCGAAUCUGAUACUUGGUGGACUAUAUACACAAAGUAUUGCCAUAGACCCAUAUUGUGUUUCAAUAGUAAUACAUACAUUUUGUAUAGAUUCUGAGAAGUGUGUGUGAAUGACUUGGUACUUUAAACGAUGACUUACCAAAAUAGCUACUCCAUUAUGGGAAUUCUGUGAAUUUUUGUGAAUUAAAUUAUAUGAGGGAAAGUGGGGAAUUAUGGAAGUAGAUUUGAACCACGUUUCGUUAAGUAGACAGACAUCUAUAUUUUUUUCAAUAAGUAAAUUUUGUAAAAGGCUCUUUUUACUCUGCAAACUUUGUAUAUUGUACUGUAAAAUAUGUAUGUAAUUAUCCAUAAAUUAAAUUAAAUUAGAUAAAAA
Helicoverpa armigera (cotton bollworm) is the source of this 3312-nucleotide long non-coding RNA. RefSeq lists it as uncharacterized. NCBI's taxonomy places the organism in Eukaryota, Metazoa, Arthropoda, Insecta, Lepidoptera, Noctuidae. The transcript has 2 exons. The record is from RefSeq and is a predicted model, not a curated record.